This 207-nucleotide long non-coding RNA is filed under the name Elaeis guineensis (African oil palm). RNAcentral describes it as "long non-coding RNA (EGUI_LNC045118)". The record is from RNAcentral. Lineage: Eukaryota; Viridiplantae; Streptophyta; Magnoliopsida; Arecales; Arecaceae.
CUCAAGUUCAUUGUGAAUCUUGUAGAAACUUUUUUCUAGUAUUCACACUUACUCUGGCUAGAGACUUCCUGAAUUUAGUCUCGCAAAUCGCAUCGGACUACUCUUUUUCUAUCAAGAUCAAUAGAUUCCAUCUAGGUGCAUCCUACUCCAAAUAGUGAAUCUGAACCUAUAAUAGCCGACAUACACAGCAAGGAUUCAAAUGGCUAG